GGAUUAGAUACCCUGGUAGUCCACGCCGUAAACGAUGAUAACUAGUUGUUCGGUCACUUGGUGACUGAGUGACGCAGCUAACGCAUUAAGUUAUCCGCCUGGGGAGUACGGUCGCAAGAUUAAAACUCAAAGGAAUUGACGGGGGCCUGCACAAGCGGUGGAGCAUGUGGUUUAAUUCGAAGCAACGCGCAGAACCUUACCAGCGUUUGACAUCCCGCGCUACUUCCAGAGAUGGAAGGUUCCCUUCGGGGACGCGGUGACAGGUGCUGCAUGGCUGUCGUCAGCUCGUGCCG
This 293-nucleotide ribosomal RNA is filed under the name uncultured bacterium. Its description in RNAcentral is "partial 16S ribosomal RNA". It matches the Rfam family "Bacterial small subunit ribosomal RNA", at positions 775 to 1067 of the family's 1533-position model. The record is from RNAcentral.